RNAcentral lists this ribosomal RNA (515 nucleotides) under Epiophlebia superstes. RNAcentral's name for it is "partial 16S rRNA". It matches the Rfam family "Bacterial large subunit ribosomal RNA", at positions 1819 to 2597 of the family's 2925-position model. Lineage: Eukaryota; Metazoa; Arthropoda; Insecta; Odonata; Epiophlebiidae. The record is from RNAcentral.
GUCUUCUUGUAAUAUUUAGGAAGUCUGACCUGCCCAGUGAAAAUUUAAAUUUAACGGCCGCGGUAUUCUGACCGUGCAAAGGUAGCAUAAUCAUUAGUCUUUUAAUAGAGGGCUGGAAUGAAGGGUUUGACGAGGUGUUGACUGUCUCAUUUAAUUUGAAUUUAGAAUUUAACUUUUUAGUCAAAAGGCUGAAAUAAUAUUGGAAGACGAGAAGACCCUAUAGAGCUUUAUAAUAUUUUUAUUAAUAAAUUUUAGUAAAUGGUUAUUUAUUAUUAUAAUCUAUUAUUUUGUUGGGGUGACAAAAAUAUAUAAUAAACUUUUUUAUUUAUUUAACAUUGAUUUAUGAUUAUUAGAUCCAAUUUUAUUGAUUAUUAGAACAAGUUACCUUAGGGAUAACAGCGUAAUCUUCUUUCAGAGUUCAUAUUUACAAGAAGGCUUGCGACCUCGAUGUUGGAUUAAGAUGAUAAUUAGGUGUAGCUGCUUAAUGUAUAGGUCUGUUCGACCUUUAAAUUCUU